Molecule: unclassified non-coding RNA, 324 nt
Filed under: uncultured Typhula
Lineage: Eukaryota; Fungi; Basidiomycota; Agaricomycetes; Agaricales; Typhulaceae
Description: sequence contains ITS2
Rfam family: 5.8S ribosomal RNA (bases 1-52)
Source: RNAcentral
AACGCACCUUGCGCUCCUUGGUAUUCCGAGGAGCAUGCCUGUUUGAGUGUCAUUAAAUUCUCAACCUCAUAACGUUUUCGAACGGUCCUUGAGGCUUGGACUUUGGAGCGUGUCGGCCUCUUUUUCUAAAGAAGUCGACUCCUCUUUAAAUGCAUUAGCUGGAACCUCUUGUGGACCAGACUACGGUGUGAUAAUUAUCUACGCUGUGGCCUUGUGAAGCACUUUGUUACGAGGUUCUGCUUCUAACCGUCCCUUACACGGACAAUGAUCUUAAUUGAUUGACAUUUUGACCUCAAAUCAGGUAGGACUACCCGCUGAACUUAA